AUUGAACGCUGGCGGCAUGCCUAACACAUGCAAGUCGAACGGUAACAGGCAAAAGCUUGCUUUUGUGCUGACGAGUGGCGGACGGGUGAGUAACGCGUGGGAAUCUGCCCAGUAGCGGGGGACAACUCGGGGAAACUCGAGCUAAUACCGCAUACGCCCUUAGGGGGAAAGGCUUCGGCCACUACUGGAUGAGCCCGCGUCGGAUUAGCUUGUUGGUGAGGUAAUGGCUCACCAAGGCAACGAUCCGUAGCUGGUCUGAGAGGACGAUCAGCCACACUGGAACUGAGACACGGUCCAGACUCCUACGGGAGGCAGCAGUGGGGAAUAUUGCACAAUGGGCGAAAGCCUGAUGCAGCAAUGCCGCGUGUGUGAAGAAGGCCUGCGGGUUGUAA
This 392-nucleotide ribosomal RNA is filed under the name uncultured bacterium. RNAcentral describes it as "bacterial SSU rRNA". It matches the Rfam family "Bacterial small subunit ribosomal RNA", at positions 30 to 428 of the family's 1533-position model. The record is from RNAcentral.